AUUGAACGCUGGCGGCAGGCUUAACACAUGCAAGUCGAGCGGAGUGAUGGUGCUUGCACUAUCACUUAGCGGCGGACGGGUGAGUAAUGCUUAGGAAUCUGCCUAUUAGUGGGGGACAACAUCUCGAAAGGGAUACUAAUACCGCAUACGUCCUACGGGAGAAAGCAGGGGAUCACUUGUGACCUUGCGCUAAUAGAUGAGCCUAAGUCGGAUUAGCUAGUUGGUGGGGUAAAGGCCUACCAAGGCGACGAUCUGUAGCGGGUCUGAGAGGAUGAUCCGCCACACUGGGACUGAGACACGGCCCAGACUCCUACGGGAGGGAGCAGUGGGGAAGAUUGGACAAUGGGGGGAACCCUGAUCCAGCCAUGCCGCGUGUGUGAAGAAGGCCUUAUGGUUGUAAAGCACUUUAAGCGAGGAGGAGGCUCUUUUGGUUAAUACCCAAGAUGAGUGGACGUUACUCGCAGAAUAAGCACCGGCUAACUCUGUGCCAGCAGCCGCCGUAA
RNAcentral lists this ribosomal RNA (503 nucleotides) under uncultured bacterium. RNAcentral's name for it is "partial 16S ribosomal RNA". It matches the Rfam family "Bacterial small subunit ribosomal RNA", at positions 30 to 523 of the family's 1533-position model. The record is from RNAcentral.